RNAcentral lists this long non-coding RNA (10337 nucleotides) under Coffea arabica (coffee). RNAcentral describes it as "long non-coding RNA (CARA_LNC000912)". Lineage: Eukaryota; Viridiplantae; Streptophyta; Magnoliopsida; Gentianales; Rubiaceae. The record is from RNAcentral.
GACAACACCAUGGACGGUUUGUACAUCGCUCCUGCCUUCAUGGACAAGCUCGUUGUUCACAUAACCAAGAACUACAUGUCCUUGCCUGGCAUCAAGGUAAAUGUACUUGAUAUCAUAUAGUAUUAAUGUGAAGCAUUAUGUAUGUAACCCGUACUCAUCAUAGUAAUGGCUAAUCGCACUAUCGCAGACUCCGAUAAGUGGAACUGUACUACUUUACGCAGCCACGUGUAAUAAAAAUAAAAUAUUUUCUAAAUAAACAAUUUUAACCUCCACACUAGUACGCAAAGGACAUUCGUAAUUAACUGGUGAGUAUCGAUUUUAUUAAAAUACCUCCUUCAGUACUGAACCAUCUUUUAACAAGAUCCAUCACCUAAGUAGUCUCUGUAAUUGCCGUGCCAUGGAAAGUUGAUAGUUUCCCCCUUAUUGUGUAAUAGGUCCCCCUCAUCCUGGGUGUCUGGGGAGGCAAAGGUCAAGGAAAAUCUUUCCAGUGUGAGCUCGUCUUUGCCAAGAUGGGAAUCAAGUGAGUUUUAUAUAGUUGUUCUUGUUUUCAUAGUUCAAGUUCUCCACAAGAAAAAUGUGGAGGUCGGUUCAUAGGUUGAGUACAAAAACACGAGUCUUGAGUUACUGGGGUUAAUUAUUGAUUGGGUUUUUCAGCCCUAUCAUGAUGAGUGCCGGAGAACUGGAAAGCGGAAAUGCAGGAGAGCCAGCCAAGCUUAUCAGGCAAAGAUACAGGGAAGCAGCUGACAUUAUCAGGAAGGGAAAAAUGUGCUGUCUCUUCAUCAACGAUCUUGAUGCCGGUGCUGGUCGUCUCGGUGGAACUACACAAUACACUGUUAACAACCAGAUGGUUAACGCCACCCUCAUGAACAUUGCUGAUAACCCCACCUGUGUCCAACUCCCCGGUAUGUACAACAAAGAAGAGAACCCCCGUGUGCCCAUCAUUGUCACCGGUAAUGAUUUCUCCACCUUGUAUGCUCCCCUUAUCCGUGAUGGUCGUAUGGAGAAAUUCUACUGGGCACCAACCCGCGACGAUCGUAUUGGUGUCUGCACCGGUAUUUUCCGAGCUGACAAUGUUCCUCAUGAAGAUAUUGUCAAACUUGUCGACACUUUCCCUGGUCAAUCCAUUGGUGAGUUGGGAACUGGAUAUACAUUAAUUAAACUAGGUAGGGCUGGCAUCUUAAUCUCAUUUUCGGUUUGAAAACUGAUAUUGGACGACUGUCGUGCAGAUUUCUUUGGUGCAUUGAGGGCAAGAGUGUACGAUGAUGAAGUGAGGAAGUGGGUUUCCGGUGUUGGAGUGGACAAAGUUGGGAAAAAGCUCGUGAACUCAAGGGAAGGCCCUCCACAGUUCGAGAAGCCUGCCAUGACCUUGGAGAAACUCCUCGAGUACGGCAACAUGCUCGUCCAAGAGCAGGAGAACGUGAAGAGGGUCCAAUUGGCUGACAAGUACUUGAACGAGGCCGCUCUUGGUGAUGCCAACGAGGAUGCUCUUAAGAGUGGAAGUUUCUACGGUUAGCUUUCUUGAUCCUAGCUACAGGCCUUGAUAGGAGGUUUGCUUCUUUUUCUUUAUGCAAAAGGUGAUGAUCAUGUGCAAUUGGAAAACGUAGUAGGAGAAAUUUCUCUCCUAAACAUUGGUUUCCUGUUUUUUGUUUCCCCCUUCUUCUACUCAGGCAAAGCAGCUCAGCAAGUGGGUGUUCCAGUUCCUGAAGGAUGCACUGACCCUAAUGCUAACAACUUUGAUCCCACUGCAAGGAGUGAUGAUGGAAGCUGCUUAUAUACUCUCUAGGCCUUUCGGGGGAAGCAACCAAUUAAUCGACGCAGGAGUAAUUUAUAAGCGCGCAAAGGAGUCAAAAAUAAAUCGUUGUCGCCUCUGUUUCUUUAUGGAUUACCGUCCUGUAAUUUUGUGUCAAAGUAUGUUAUACACUCGUCUCAUCCUCGAAUUCGGAUUUUUGUGUAUUUCUCUCUCUCUUAUUCAAGACUUUUUUUUUUUUUGGGGGGGGAAGCUUAAUGAGGAGGUUUCGUUCAUGUUAAAUCUGCAAGAACUGCAACCAGACCUUUCUCCCCGGUUCCCAGUCAAGACUUAAUCUAAUGUUUGUGUCUGAUUUAUUAAGCAAGAAAGUUCGUCUCCACUCAUGUAUUGCGUUCUUCAGCAUUUUGUUUUCGCUGCUUGUGAAUAAUGAUGAAGAGGGACAGAGUAAAUUUAAGAUUAAAAUUGAUCCGUCAGAGAAUAUCUCGCGGAGAAGGUAGUGUUUUUUUUGAAGGAUGCGGAGAAAGAGUUCAAAACCGGUGCUCCGAAUGUAAGUUCGAAAAUUUCAAUUACUAUUUUGAUAUUUUGAUGAGCUGGCUACUCUAACCUUCUGUCAAAUGAAUACUUCAUCGUUUUGUCAUGUGGCCAAAUUUAAUUUUCUAUUCGAACCAUUAUUAAGUACUUUAGUUUUGGUAGCAAUCAAUUCUAUGUUUGAUUUUUCACCCAAUUAUACUCUUCUCUUUUUUCACUUCUGUAACUAUAGGAACUUUUAAUCAAUCAUUUACUUUUUUUUUUAUUUUAUAUGCGUUUGUAUUAAUUAUGCCUUUCUAAACUUUUUUGUCAGUCACUUCAUAGUAGUAUCUCAAUUUUUUUUUAUUCUUUACCAAUCACCUUUUCUAUUCUUAUUAUUUGGUCUGAUUAGAUAUUAUAAUUACUAAAAUUGAAUAAUUUGAACUCUUUCUAAAAUUCGAUCUCAGUUCCCUAUCUUUUCGCUACGUGCCAAAUUUAAUGUUUUAUUUGAGUAGCUUUUUGAGUAUUUUAUUUUUGGUAACAAUCAAUUCUAUUUUUAUUUUUUCAUGCACUUAUCCUUUUUUUCUUUUUUACUUCCUUAACUAUAGCAACUUUCAAAACUUUAUAGUAUUUUGCUUUUUGACAACAAUCAAAUCUAUCUUUAUUUUUUCACAUGCUUAUUCUCUUUUCCUUUUUUUUUUUUUUUUACUUUCUUAACUAUUGCAAUUCUCAAUCAAUCUUUUAAUUUCAAGCAUCUCAUAAUUUUCUUUUUUUUAAAUAUUUUUUGAUCACAUUUUUUUCCCUUGUUAUUUGGUUUGGUUAUAUAUUACUAAUAGUUUCUUUAUUUUGCAUUUAGCAACACAAUUAAUAUCGCAACAUCAAUUUUGAAAGUCCAAAUGUUUAUUUAAGUAGAUAGAGUAUUUUUUGAUUAACUAUUCAAAUAUAGUUUGAGAAUGAAAAAAGGAUAUAGUAUAUGUACGUGAAACUUAAAAUGAACCAAAUUCUAAACAAGAAUAGAGUUAGGUAAGAAUACUGAACAAAAUAUUGUAACAAUCAACAUAAAGUUAAGGUUAUCAAUCAAACUAAUAGUGAGCAAAUUGUAUCAAAAUUCAAUCUAAAAUUAAUUUAGGAACUAAUAUAGUCUAUUAGACCCGUGCAUAUUUUGGGGCAAUAUUUUUAGUAAGAAGGAAAGAAAUAUCAUAAUGUGUUCAAUAAUAUUUCAUUAUUUUCCCAUGAAAAGAUAAUAAAAUAAAAGAUUAAAAGAAAGAGAGAAAAAAAAGCUGUAUAUUGUUUUCAUUAAUUGAAAAUGUAAAGUUCAAAAAUAAAAUUAUUACUUUCAUUACAUAACUAUGGAAUUUUAUGAACCUCUCAUGGUUGAACAUCCAAAGCCAUGACUUUGUAUUCCUUAGUUUUCUUGGGGAUGAACCUCCCCUACUUUCAACUAAUGGAGAGAAAUUAACCAAAUUUGUCAUAAAUGUACUUCAAUGUCUCCAAAAUGCCCUCAUAAUGACAUAAGCAGAUUUUUUCCCAAAAAAAAAAAAAAAAGAUUACAAUUGUGAAAAUUUGAUGACACUUAAUUCCAUGUGUAGCCAUAAAAUUUGCUAGCCAUCCAAUGAAGACCGGAAGACCCCUAACUUUUACAUAAAAUCAAAGGCGAGAUAAGUGUAAUGUACCCAUUUUAUUAAAUAUCAGCGAUUGGUUAACACGUUUCUAUUAUUCCUUUAUCUUUCAGGCCAGUGGGGUCAUUCCCAAAGUGCAGUGUCCAGUUUUUUGCAGCUUUAGCCAGGCAGAGCAAAAACUGGGUAGAUCACUCAGAGAAAUUUUCCUAUAUUUGGCAAAAGCAGACCGAACUUAGAAAGGCCUCAAAUUGAGAGUAAGAUUUAAGAUUAGGGAGAAUAUUGAUGUGGAUGCAAGAAAACAAUGAGCAUUCUUUGAUUAGGCACCUUGAAAUCGUGGAUAAAACUAGAGAAAGUAUGCAACGCAGAAAAGUAGCAAGAAUCAAAAGCACAGUGGAAUUGCAAAAUUGGAGGGGGAAGCAAAUUAAACUUCAUCUUGCAUGCGCGAUGAUAUUUGUUGAUUGUUUGGAUCAAAAGCACAAUGGGAAGGUUUAAAAUCAAUCAAUGUAGAGAAAAAUGUGACCGGUCGAGCAUGGCGCAGCGCAUGCAGCUGGGGAAUUAAUGCUUCCUGAACACGAUGUUUAUAGUGAAAACAAUUUGGUAAAUGGUUAGGCAAACUCAAAGUUGUCGUGCAGGUGUUAUCUGUGUCCAGAUUCCUGGGUUCUGCAUGUCUUAUUCAAACUGCCUAGUCCAAAAAAUUUCCAGCUUAGUACCUUGCACGUUGCCUGUUUAAGUUAGCACUUAUCCAUUGUUCCUUUCUAACUUUGCUCAACGCACGAAACUUAACCUUAGAAAUAAGGGUAAUAUCAGAAAGGUUUCUCUUAAUAUCACUUGGCACCUAUAAGGUUUCAAAAAUAUCACUUACUUUCUUUACUUUUGUUAUUUGUGUAACAAAAUUUUUAAAAACCUUGAACUACCCUUUCACUUGCUAAAUAAAAAUAUUCCUAAAUCACAUUGUUCACUUCAAGAAAACCAUCACCUCAAAAACAAUCUCUCGUAGUACUAUCACAUUACAAUACUAUACCUCAUAAAAAUAUAAAUUUGAAAAAUAAAAAAAGAAAUUUGAAAAGAAAUUAGUUGCAUCAAUUUAAUUUUAUAUGUUCAAAAUCGAUUCCUAUGAAUUUAUAUUUUUUUUCUAAUAACUUCUCAACCCUUAUUCAAACCAUUAAACUGUACCAAUCAUUAUAAAAAUCAACUCAAAAUAAGCAAAUAAGUCAUACCCCACUUUAUCACAAUCAUAAAAAGUAAAAAAUAAACAAAUUUUAAUUUGUUAUAAUUUACAAAUAAAAUAUUGCAUAGUAAUCCAAAAAAUAUGAGUUGGAGAAAAUGAUGAGAAAAAGGAAAAAAAAAAGAAGAAAAUGACUUUCUUUUUUUUUUUUUAAUUUUUGAGCUCUAUUUAUUUGAUAUAUUAUGAAUUAUGUGUCAAGUGAAGGUUAAUAUAGUCUUUUUACAAUUGUGUGAUAUUUCUAAAAUCUCAAGGUGCUAAGUGACAUUAAGAGAAAUCUCAAGAGAGGUUUCUGAUAUUGUCCCUAGAAAUAAUAAAAAAGCUUCUCACUUUUUUUUUUUUAAUAAGGGAACUCAUAAUCGCUAUCUAAGAGUGUGCACAGGAUAAAUCCAGUUUCAUAUAAUAAUCCGUCAAUCACACGGAGGGAUAAAACACACUAGACAAAUCUUGUGUGGCGGAUAGAUGUUCCAAAAGAGGUUUAAACCUUAAUUGGUAGAAAUAUAUAACGCCAACUCUAUCAUGUCGGCUAACUCAAGAAACAAAAAGCCUCUCACAUUGUUUUGCCUUCACGACGAAACACGUGUCAAGCGUCAAGAUUCUUUCCAAAUUAGAUUUUAACACAAUUUGGGCUUUUUCCCAACCUUGAAUACGAUAGUUCCUGUUAUUUUUUAUUCUACAAUUUGAGAAAGAAUGGUCGAAAAGAAAUUCAAACUGGUUAUGAACAACAUUACAAUAUUUAAACCUGUGUAAAUGAUAUAGCAUAUCUAACUUCUGCCUUUGAAAUGCCAAGAAAGUCGGCCAAAGUAAAGAAGUUUUGUUUAUCCAAAGCAAGCAUUAAUGUUCAUCUCAUCAGCAUCCGGCAACCGCAAAGCUGAAGACGUCAAAUGCGCGCACUUCAAUGGACUGAGACUUUUGUUUUUGGUCGAGCACAGAAGUGAAAUUGCGGAUAAAACUGAAGCUGUUGCUCAAGCCGAAUAAUAUACUAUAUAAUUACACAAAAAAUGGUUUUUAUGGACGUGUUUUCAUUUACUCAUCAAAAGGGAGGAAGAAGGUUAGGGGAUAGAUAAAAAGCUACAUACAGGAUGGCUAUACCAUUAUUUCAAAAAAUUUUGGAUAAUAACUCUCUUCUGGUUUUCGAAUUAUCGUUUGAAAUUGGAAAACAAUGGCAGAAUCCGAUCCAAUAGUUAACCGGUUGAUACUUUGUAGCGCUGUUUUAUAAUUGGUUUUAUUUUAAUUUCAAAAGAAGUGCAAAGCAAAGGGAAAAAGUUACAAUUGGUUUUAUUUUAAUUUCAAAAAAAAUGCAAAGCAAGUUGUGUGGAUAUUAUAUAAUAACGAUAGCAUUUCUUUAAUCUAAUCUGAUAAAAUUAAAAAUUUUAUAGAAAAAAAUCACUAAAAAUAAUCGUAUAUCCCGUAAGAAUUGAUUCGAACACUUCUGUAUAAAAAAUAAAAAUCAUAUAAGAUAACAAUUUGAUAGGAGCCCAGAGUUGAACCUUUGUCCUAGCAAGUUUUUGGCAGCGACCAAUAGGAGAAAGGGCUGGUGGUUGUGAACUUUUUGUAGUCAGCUUAAGAAAGUUGUGUUGAAAUUGGGUAGUCAAUUCAACUUUUUGACUGACGAGGUCAUCAUUUAUAUUAGCACUAUGAAUUAGUGUAUUCGAACUCUUACUUUCGUUCUUAGCACUAUCAUUUACUACAUUCGAAUUCUUACUUUUAUUCCUAAACUUGAAAAGAAACACUUCGAAAAAAAUAUAUAUAUAUUGUAGCAACUUAAUAUAUGUAAAAUAAAAAAUAAGUGCACGAAAAAAGUAAAAUUUUUUUUUAGAAAAAAUGACUUUCCAAACAAAGUCUUAAUUUCUUAAACUAUAAGAUUUGUCACGCUUUGCUUCCUAAAAUAUAGAACUUAUCCACUAUGGUCCCUAAAGUAUGAAAUUUAUUCUAGUUUAAUUCAUAAAAUAUAUUCACUGAGGCAUAAAAUCUGCCUCAAUUUCUUAAUGACAUUACCUAAGUGGAAUAAAUUUUAUAAUUUAGGAACUAAAGUGUUCUAUUUUUAAAUUUAUGAACUAAUGUGGGAAUUUAGGUAUAACUAAAGGGGGCAAAUAAAAAUAACCUCCUAUCAAUUCUAUACUAAUUAAGUAGGUACUAAUAGAGACAGUGGCGGAUCAUUAUUCAUUGGAUGGAGGACUUAAAGUUAAGCGGGAAACUUUAGGCUGUGUUUGGAUUGCUUGUUUCCGUCGAAAAAUAUUGUCGUUUUCCGUGAUCACAUUUCCCUAUCACCUUUUUUCCUCACAUUUAUCAAAUCGUUACAGUAAUUUUUUCAUGAAAAAUGAUGGAAAAUACAAUCCAAACACACCCUUAACCAACUUCGAAGGAGCCCGCUUGCCAGCCAGAUGAGAUUUGGGGAAAAAAAAUAUUUAUAACCUUGUUGUUGUAGGCAGAAAAUCUAAGUAACUUUUUACAAAUUCUGAAAAGAUCCAUGGCAUAAUCAUUCGGGAAAAAGAAAAGAUCUUCAACCCACCAUGUAACAUAAUUGCAAUAACUGUAAAUGAUUUUCCAAAUCUACUUAUUCAAAAUAUGUUAUCAUUUUAAGAUUCCACAUAAAUUUGAAUCUUGAAAAAGAAUAUCAUGAAAACCCAUCGUCUAGUUAAAUGGCACCAUGCUUGGUGAGGAUGGCGAUGCAAAAAAUUCCGUGCGCAUUCAUUCUUUGACUAGGCAGUAGGCACCUUCAAAAUCAAAACUGGAGAAAGUAUGCAAUGCAAAAAAGUCGCCAAGAAUCAAAAGCACAACGGAAUUACAGAUAUAAUAAAGAAAAACAAACAGAACUUUAUUUUGUUUGGAUUGUAUUUUUUUUUUUUGUAGAAAAAUUAUUAGAACGAUUUGAUAUGUGUGAAAUAAAAAAGUGAUUGAAAAAUGUGUUCACGAAAAACAUUGCAAUUUCCAAACAAAGCUUAUAUAUAGUAUUUUAUGCAAUUCGAGACUGAGUAGUUGAAAAGAACAGAGGACAAACAACUUGCUAAAGUAUAGUUAUAAUACACAAUAACAAAGCUUAUUUUCCGACUAGAAAGUCAAGGAAAAGCUGAUAGUUUGUUUAUCUAACCCCAAUAGCGAUUGGUAAUCAUAUUCUUUUGAAAGCAAAACGAAGAAAUUUUAUGUGCUCUGCACUUUUAUUUCAACGCCAGAGUUUGGCUGUCUAAGGAACCCUCCACAUGACGACUUGAUGACUCAAGUCACGCAAAAUUACUCCAAGCUUUUCUAUUUUGGUUGAACAUGAAAAACCCAGGAGAAAAAACGUCAGGUUUGUUUGGACAGUGUAUUAUUUGAAAUAUUUUAUUAUUUAGAAUAAUUACUGUAGUACUUUUUUGUGAUGUGAUGUAUGCGAGAUAAAAAAGUGAUUGAAAAUAUAAAAAGUAAAUUGAAAAAUGUGUUUACGAUGCAAGCGCUUUUUUGCUUUCAAGGAAGAAAAUAAAUGAACCCUCAAAUCGAGCGGUCAAAAAAUGGAGAGCCGACUUCCGGUUAUUUAACAAAUUAAAUGUUAAAACAAUCCACCAAUCUCCCUAUUAUAGAGGACAAAAAAUUUUGAUUAAGACGACUUUUAUAGUUGAUCGUUAUUUGAAGUCUUUAAGGAGUCAGCCAUAUCACGACUGGAACAAUAGUCCUUGCACCGGAACUCUCGAAAUUGUAAUAGUAACAACUUAUUUCAGGGGAGCAGCAGCCAACCCCGAGAAGGUCCACAAAUUUUGAAAGGAGGGUUGGGUGUGAUAGAAUGUAGCAGAAACAGUCAAGCAUCUAUUGAUCAAAAUCAGCUGCCCCCUCUUUCAUGAAACCAUGUCCUUGCACUCCAGGACACUCCAUGUGUUGAAUUGAAGGAAGCUGUGUCGGUCUGACUUGGGCAGGGCCGUCACUAACUCAUUUCAACUCCAAUCUAAUCUUCUUCUUAAAAAGGUACGUAGGCUGGUCUUGGUUGGUCUCGUUAAAAAUAUCAUGCACUUCCAUUUUGAGAUGUCUCGGAAUGUUUAUUGCAUUAUUUUAUAAAAAAAUAAAAUUAUUUUUAAUCUCUUUUUUCGAUAUCAUUUUUAUCUUUAUUUUGUCUCGUUUUUAGAGCUGUUAAUCGAGCCGAGUAUUUGGCUGUCGAGCUCGACUCGAGUUUAAUUCGAGCUGAGCUCGACUCGAGCUCGUUAGGAAAACGAGCUUUAAAAUGUGUUCGAACUCGACUCGUUAAAUGUACAUGUGACUCGAAUUCGAGCUCGAGCUCGAACUUGACUCGUUUAUCAUAAACGAGUCGAGUUUCACGAGCUUGAGCUAACAAACCAGUCGAGUUUCACGAGCUCGAGCUCGAACUUGACUCGUUUAUCACAAACGAGUCGAGUUUCACGAGUUCGAGCUAACAAACCAGUCGAGUUUCACGAGCUCGUGCAAAUUAACCUUAAUAAAAACCUAUAAUUUUUAAUUUUUAUAAUUUUGAUUUCUAAAAUGACAAAUAUGCCCUUCAUUAACGAGUUUUAACGAGCUACUCGAGUAUCAAACGAGCCGAGUAAGCUCGGUUCGUUAACUAAACGAGCAUGUUUCGAGUUCGAGCUCGACUCGUUAACCAAAAUUAACGAGUCGAGCUUGAGCCUUAACGAGCCGAACUCUAACGAGCUUUCGAGCUACUCGAUUGACUUAACAGCUCUACUCGUUUUGGAUUUAAAUUUAACACUUAAAUUUUAGAAAGCAAGACGUCAAAGUAAAAAUACUAAAAUCAUAAUUAAGUUGUUACUCUUAAAAUGUUAGAAUCCUGAAAUGCCACAAAAAUUUUGAAAGGAUGGGGCAGUGAGAUGCUUUUAUUUUUCCCCUGUUAACCGCACUAUUGCAUUGCAUUCUCUGAAUUUUUUAAAAACAAGAAGUAUAAUGCACUAAUUUUUUUGAAAGGAAAGGGUAGUAAGAUGCAUAUUCCAUUUUUGGUCGGCAACAGUGACUAUCUUCUUGAGAACAAGAAGAUGGACAAGGGCGGAACACUUUCUCAGUUCUCUACCCGUUGGACCAAGGGUCCAAUAUUUUGGGUGGUAAGAUGAUGCGUAGCUCAACUCGAUUUCAACCCAACCUUAAAUGUGGCGUGUGAAAAUUACAGCCAACAAACAAAGAUGGGACCCUCUAUUUUUCCACUUUUCGUACAACUCCAGUCCACAACACAAUGCCACCCCAUUCUCCACCUCCUGUUUCUUCUCUUCUUCCUCUCUGCUUUGCACCAAACGCCCCCCCAAAAAAAAAA